This 465-nucleotide ribosomal RNA is filed under the name Vreelandella stevensii. Its description in RNAcentral is "partial 16S ribosomal RNA". It matches the Rfam family "Bacterial small subunit ribosomal RNA", at positions 338 to 795 of the family's 1533-position model. Lineage: Bacteria; Pseudomonadati; Pseudomonadota; Gammaproteobacteria; Oceanospirillales; Halomonadaceae. The record is from RNAcentral.
CCUACGGGAGGCUGCAGUGGGGAAUAUUGGACAAUGGGCGAAAGCCUGAUCCAGCCAUGCCGCGUGUGUGAAGAAGGCCUUCGGGUUGUAAAGCACUUUCAGUGGGGAAGAAAGCCUUGGGGCUAAUACCCUCGAGGAAGGACAUCACCCACAGAAGAAGCACCGGCUAACUCCGUGCCAGCAGCCGCGGUAAUACGGAGGGUGCGAGCGUUAAUCGGAAUUACUGGGCGUAAAGCGCGCGUAGGCGGUCUGAUAAGCCGGUUGUGAAAGCCCCGGGCUCAACCUGGGAACGGCAUCUGGAACUGUCAGGCUAGAGUGCAGGAGAGGAAGGUAGAAUUCCCGGUGUAGCGGUGAAAUGCGUAGAGAUCGGGAGGAAUACCAGUGGCGAAGGCGGCCUUCUGGACUGACACUGACGCUGAGGUGCGAAAGCGUGGGUAGCAAACAGGAUUAGAUACCCCUGUAGUC